This 562-nucleotide ribosomal RNA is filed under the name uncultured bacterium. RNAcentral describes it as "partial 16S ribosomal RNA". It matches the Rfam family "Bacterial small subunit ribosomal RNA", at positions 355 to 1375 of the family's 1533-position model. The record is from RNAcentral.
UGGGGAAUAUUGGACAAUGGGCGCAAGCCUGAUCCAGCCAUGCCGCGUGAGUGAUGAAGGCCUUAGGGUUGUAAAGCUCUUUCGCCGGUGAAGAUAAUGACGGUAACCGGAGAAGAAGCCCCGGCUAACUUCGUGCCAGCAGCCGCGGUAAUACGAAGGGGGCUAGCGUUGCUCGGAAUCACUGGGCGUAAAGCGCACGUAGGCGGAUCGUUAAGUCAGGGGUGAAAUCCUGGAGCUCAACUCCAGAACUGCCCUUGAUACUGGCGAUCUCGAGUUCGAGAGAGGUUGGUGGAACUCCGAGUGUAGAGGUGAAAUUCGUAGAUAUUCGGAAGAACACCAGUGGCGAAGGCGGCCAACUGGCUCGAUACUGACGCUGAGGUGCGAAAGCGUGGGGAGCAAAACAGGAUUAGAUACCCUGGUAGUCCACGCCGUAAACGAUGGAUGCUAGCCGUUGGGGGGUUUACCUCUCAGUGGCGCAGCUAACGCCUUAAGCAUCCCGCCUGGGGAGUACGGUCGCAAGAUUAAAAACUUAAAUAAAUUGACGGGGUCAUAGCUGUUUCCU